UCCCCGCUAGCAUCUCCUUUAACGUACAUCAUUCACUCUCACAACGCGUUUUGUCGUGUUGCUACGGCUAAAAAAAACGGAGUGUGGUAAAACGUUACAUUAGUGUCGUGUGCGGCGGGGAAAAGACGAGUAUUGAGCCCACACGGCGGCAGGUUUGGCGGUAAAAGUGCUGCAGUGAGAAAAGAAAUUCGCUCGCCCACCUCGUCCUGCUGCGGGGGAUUAUUGGCUCUCUGCUUCGGCUGCUCCUUGCUGGCUGUCAUGGUGGAAAGUCCAGAUCGGUCCAAUGUGUGCUUUACCGCCGCAAAGCAGGAUGCUAAAGAUUCUCAUCAACUGAGGAGGGUGAGGAGGAGGAGGAGGAGGAUGUCGUCAGCAGUGAGAUGCAGGAGAACAUCUGACCAGAGGACAAGAGCAGCUCCUUCUAGAACACCUUGAUGUCCGCGCCUUGGAGGAGGUGUGCUUGAAGCUCAUCGAGAGAAUGCCAAGAGUGUGCAAAGCAGAAUGUAUUAACCCUUAAAGAAGAUAUUCAAACAAUGCUCCUGCUGCCACACAGUCUGCUGUGCGCUCCUCUGAGCGCGCCUCUGGACACGCUCUCCUGCAGCAAUCAACACACCUGCCACUGAUGAGAACUCCACGCCCUUCAUAAGCCAGUGGAUCCUGCGUUCCAGUGCCAGAAUGUAGCUACUUGUUUCGUACAGUAAGCCCUACACGUCUCCAGCUCUCCUCGCCUAUGUGCUUCCUUGCUCUCUGUGUUUCCCCUCUGUGCUCAUCGUCUUGUGUCCUGUGUCGUCACCCUGCAGCUCCUCUUCGUUCCCUGGAUUUGAGCUGUGUGUCUCGUCUCCCCGUAUUCCCUCCAGUCUUCUUGCUGCCUUUCUGGAUUUCGACCCCUCGCCUGGACAUGGAUUUUGACGCCUUGCUCCUGCCCACGGACCUCUUGCUUGCCCAGGGACCUCCGAAAUUGCCUUGCUCCUUCUGUACUUCUUCACCUUCCUCAACACGCACCUUCAACAACUCCUGGUAACACUCAGCUAAACACAACACAUAGUCACACCACACGUAUUGGGAUUACUUGCACACGUCAUUCUAUUAUUUUAAUAAACACGCCUAAGGCUA
Entelurus aequoreus (snake pipefish) is the source of this 1110-nucleotide long non-coding RNA. RefSeq lists it as uncharacterized. NCBI's taxonomy places the organism in Eukaryota, Metazoa, Chordata, Actinopteri, Syngnathiformes, Syngnathidae. The record is from RefSeq and is a predicted model, not a curated record. The transcript is spliced from 3 exons.